AGUGAACGCUGGCGGCAGGCCUAAUACAUGCAAGUCGAACGGCAGCACAGCAGAGCUUGCUCUGUGGGUGGCGAGUGGCGGACGGGUGAGGAAUACGUGGGAAUCUGCCCAGUCGUGGGGGAUAACGUAGGGAAACUUACGCUAAUACCGCAUGCGCCCUUCGGGGAAAGCCGGGGACCUUCGGGCCUGGCGCGAUUGGAUGAGCCCACGUCGGAUUAGCUAGUUGGCGGGGUAAAGGCCCACCAAGGCGACGAUCCGUAGCUGGUCUGAGAGGAUGAUCAGCCACACUGGAACUGAGACACGGUCCAGACUCCUACGGGAGGCAGCAGUAGGGAAUAUUGGACAAAUGGGCGCAAGCCUGAUCCAGCCAUGCCGCGUGAGUGAAGAAGGCCCUCGGGUUGUAAAGCUCUUUGUUCCGGAAAGAAAAGACGCCGGGUUAAGUAACCCUGGUG
This 452-nucleotide ribosomal RNA is filed under the name uncultured bacterium. RNAcentral describes it as "bacterial SSU rRNA". It matches the Rfam family "Bacterial small subunit ribosomal RNA", at positions 29 to 471 of the family's 1533-position model. The record is from RNAcentral.